CCUACGUGAGACAGCAGUGAGGAAUCUUGGUCAAUGGACGCAAGUCUGAACCAGCCAAGUAGCGUGAAGGAUGACUGCCCUAUGGGUUGUAAACUUCUUUUAUAAAUGAAUAAAACGAGGCACGUGUGCCUUUUUGCAUGUACUUUAUGAUUACGGAUCGGCUAACUACGUGCCAGCAUCCGAGGUAAUACGGAGGAUCCGAGCGGUAUCCUUCUUUAUUGGGUUUACAGGGAGUGUAAAUGGGUUGUUAAGUCAGUUGUGAAAGUUUGCGGUUCAACCGUAAAAUUGCAAUUGAUACUGGCAGUCUGGAGUACAGUUGAGGUAGGCGGAAUUCGUGGUGUAGCGGUGAAAUGCUUAGAUAUCACGAAGAACCCCGAUUGCGAAGGCAGCUUACUAAACUGUGACUGACAUUGAUGCUCGAAAGUGUGGGUAUCAAACAGGAUUAGAUACCCCUGUAGUC
RNAcentral lists this ribosomal RNA (460 nucleotides) under uncultured bacterium. Its description in RNAcentral is "partial 16S ribosomal RNA". It matches the Rfam family "Bacterial small subunit ribosomal RNA", at positions 338 to 795 of the family's 1533-position model. The record is from RNAcentral.